This 440-nucleotide ribosomal RNA is filed under the name uncultured Rahnella sp. RNAcentral describes it as "bacterial SSU rRNA". It matches the Rfam family "Bacterial small subunit ribosomal RNA", at positions 358 to 790 of the family's 1533-position model. The record is from RNAcentral. Lineage: Bacteria; Pseudomonadati; Pseudomonadota; Gammaproteobacteria; Enterobacterales; Yersiniaceae.
GGAAUAUUGCACAAUGGGCGCAAGCCUGAUGCAGCCAUGCCGCGUGUGUGAAGAAGGCCUUAGGGUUGUAAAGCACUUUCAGCGAGGAGGAAGGGUUCAGUGUUAAUAGCACUGUGCAUUGACGUUACUCGCAGAAGAAGCACCGGCUAACUCCGUGCCAGCAGCCGCGGUAAUACGGAGGGUGCAAGCGUUAAUCGGAAUUACUGGGCGUAAAGCGCACGCAGGCGGUUUGUUAAGUCAGAUGUGAAAUCCCCGAGCUUAACUUGGGAACUGCAUUUGAAACUGGCAAGCUAGAGUCUUGUAGAGGGGGGUAGAAUUCCAGGUGUAGCGGUGAAAUGCGUAGAGAUCUGGAGGAAUACCGGUGGCGAAGGCGGCCCCCUGGACAAAGACUGACGCUCAGGUGCGAAAGCGUGGGGAGCAAACAGGAUUAGAUACCCUAG